This 253-nucleotide ribosomal RNA is filed under the name uncultured bacterium. RNAcentral describes it as "partial 16S ribosomal RNA". It matches the Rfam family "Bacterial small subunit ribosomal RNA", at positions 524 to 776 of the family's 1533-position model. The record is from RNAcentral.
UACGUAGGGACCAAGCGUUGUCCGGAUUUAUUGGGCGUAAAGAGCUCGUAGGCGGCCCUCCACGUCGGAUGUGAAAGCUCAGGGCUCAACCCUGAGAUGCCAUUCGAUACGGGAAGGCUAGAGGUAGGUAGGGGAAAGUGGAACUCCUGGUGUAGCGGUGAAAUGCGCAGAUAUUGCUCGGAAGGCCGGAGCCGAAGGGGCCCCACUGGUACGUAACUGACGCUGAGGCACGAAAGCGUGGGGAGCAAACAGG